UAGGGAAUCUUCGGCAAUGGGGGCAACCCUGACCGAGCAACGCCGCGUGAGUGAAGAAGGUUUUCGGAUCGUAAAACUCUGUUGUUAGAGAAGAACACGAGUGAGAGUAACUGUUCAUUCGAUGACGGUAUCUAACCAGCAAGUCACGGCUAACUACGUGCAAG
RNAcentral lists this ribosomal RNA (164 nucleotides) under uncultured bacterium. RNAcentral describes it as "partial 16S rRNA". It matches the Rfam family "Bacterial small subunit ribosomal RNA", at positions 355 to 511 of the family's 1533-position model. The record is from RNAcentral.